Molecule: ribosomal RNA, 839 nt
Filed under: uncultured archaeon
Lineage: Archaea
Description: bacterial SSU rRNA
Rfam family: Archaeal small subunit ribosomal RNA
Source: RNAcentral
AGGUUACUGCUAUCGGUGUUCGCCUAAGCCAUGCGAGUCAUAUGUUCUUCGUGAACAUGGCGUACUGCUCAGUAACACGUGGAUAACCUGCCCUUGGGUCCGGCAUAACCCCGGAAAACUGGGGAUAAUUCCGGAUAACGCACAUAUGCUGGAAUGCUUUAUGCGUCAAAUGGAUUCGUCCGCCCAAGGAUGGGUCUGCGGCCUAUCAGGUAGUAGUGGGUGUAAUGUACCUACUAGCCUACGACGGGUACGGGUUGUGAGAGCAAGAGCCCGGAGAUGGAUUCUGAGACAUGAAUCCAGGCCCUACGGGGCGCAGCAGGCGCGAAAACUUUACAAUGCGGGAAACCGUGAUAAGGGGACACCGAGUGCCAGCAUCAUAUGUUGGCUGUCCGGGUGUGUAAAAUACACCUGUUAGCAGGGGCCGGGCAAGACCGGUGCCAGCCGCCGCGGUAACACCGGCGGCCCGAGUGGUGAUCGUGAUUAUUGGGUCUAAAGGGUCCGUAGCCGGUUUGGUCAGUCCUCCGGGAAAUCUGACGGCUUAACCGUUAGGCUUUCGGGGGAUACUGCCAGACUUGGAACCGGGAGAGGUAAGAGGUACUACAGGGGUAGGAGUGAAAUCUUGUAAUCCCUGUGGGACCACCUGUGGCGAAGGCGUCUUACCAGAACGGGUUCGACGGUGAGGGACGAAAGCUGGGGGCACGAACCGGAUUAGAUACCCGGGUAGUCCCAGCCGUAAACGAUGCUCGCUAGGUGUCAGGCAUGGCGCGACCGUGUCUGGUGCCGCAGGGAAGCCGUGAAGCGAGCCACCUGGGAAGUACGGCCGCAAGGCUGAAACUUAA